AGAGUUUGAUCCUGGCUCAGGACGAACGCUGGCGGCGUGCCUAACACAUGCAAGUCGAACGGAGAUAUGAUUUCGGUUGUAUCUUAGUGGCGAACGGGUGAGUAACGCGUGAGCAACCUGACCUUCAGAGGGGGAUAACAUUUGGAAACAGAUGCUAAUACCGCAUAAGACCACGACCCGACAUCGGGAUGAGGUCAAAGGAGCAAUCCGCUGAAGGAGGGGCUCGCGUCCCAUUAGAUAGAUGGCGGGGUAACGGCCCACCAUGUCGACGAUGGGUAGCCGAGCUGAGAGGCUGAUCGGCCACACUGGAACUGAGACACGGUCCAGACUCCUACGGGAGGCAGCAGUGGGGAAUAUUGGGCAAUGGGCGAAAGCCUGACCCAGCAACGCCGCGUGAGGGAAGAAGGCCUUCGGGUUGUAAACCUCUGUCCUUGGUGACGAAAAAAAUGACGGUAGCCAAGGAGGAAGCCCCGGCUAACUACGUGCCAGCAGCCGCGGUAAUACGUAGGGGGCGAGCGUUGUCCGGAAUUACUGGGCGUAAAGGGUGCGUAGGUGGCCUUUUAAGUUGGAUGUGAAAUACCCGGGCUUAACUUGGGGGGUGCAUCUAAUACUGGAGGGCUAGAGUGCAGGAGAGGGAAGCGGAAUUCCUAGUGUAGCGGUGAAAUGCGUAGAUAUUAGGAGGAACACCAGUGGCGAAGGCGGCUUUCUGGACUGUAACUGACACUGAGGCACGAAAGCGUGGGGAGCAAACAGGAUUAGAUACCCUGGUAGUCCACGCUGUAAACGAUGAAUACUAGGUGUAGGGGGUAUCAACUCCCCCUGUGCCGGAGCUAACGCAAUAAGUAUUCCGCCUGGGGAGUACGGCCGCAAGGUUGAAACUCAAAUGAAUUGACGG
Molecule: ribosomal RNA, 895 nt
Filed under: uncultured bacterium
Lineage: Bacteria
Description: bacterial SSU rRNA
Rfam family: Bacterial small subunit ribosomal RNA
Source: RNAcentral